Long non-coding RNA from Salvia splendens (bonfire salvia), 1675 nucleotides. RefSeq lists it as uncharacterized. NCBI's taxonomy places the organism in Eukaryota, Viridiplantae, Streptophyta, Magnoliopsida, Lamiales, Lamiaceae. The transcript has 10 exons. The record is from RefSeq and is a predicted model, not a curated record.
GUUGAUCAACCUAAUAAAUGAACAUUACAACAGUAGCAUGUUAUACAUGAAAAUAUAAAUGGAUUUUCUCUCCAUUUCUUCAGCCGCCUCAGCAAAACCCUAGCCCAAAAUCGCGCCGCUCCACCAUCUCCGCCUACAAAACUUCGCCGUUGACGGCGAUGCUGACCACACCGCACCACAAAUCAGCGACAACUUCUUCUACUCACCGGUAGUUUAUACUCCAUGUAAACUCAUCGCUGAUCAACACCACCCGACAGACGGAACCUUAAAUCUCCCCCACACAUCGACGAAAUCGGUGAGCUUCAUCGACGACGACGUAUUUACCCAAACCCAGGCCAAAAUCGGCGACGACUUCACCUAUUCCAAACAAUCAGGAAAAAACCACCGACCCAGAGACGACACCGUAGCCCUAGAUCUCGACUCCUCCACUGAGGAAAACGGUGAAAAAACCACCAUCUACGCCGGACGACAUUCUUUCCAUCACCCGAGAAAGCUUCAAAAUUGUGAAAGAGAUGAACAAUGCUUCCAAAUUAGUACCAACACGGUCCAAGAAGGAAAACAAACCGAAGAAGCAUUCAAAAAAUUAAAAUGGAACAGAGCGUUGGCUCGUCAGAGUAAAGAGCUCAGCCUCCGGUAUUGGCCCUCAGAUAUAUCAAUUGAGCUUUUCGACAAUGUACUAUUGUAUCAUCUAAUCAUGUUCCAAGAAAAACAACCAAUGUUUGUCCCCAUUUUAUUACUUUUCUCGCCAAAAGUGCACCUAGUGGCAUUCUUGUGCCACUGUCAUUUCCGUCUCCAAUAAAUGAUUCAAAAACCCAAACACAUUGCACCUUGAUGAUAGUAUUUGCACAUCUAGGAUGAAGACUAUGGAUCGAAGUAAUGAAAGGGAAUGAUAUCAAUUUACAAAAAGUAUUGCAGCAUUGUGAUCUACACGUACGGAAAGUCAAAAGUUGCAGACAAAGAACCAUUAUAGCAUAGCAAAGAUGAUCUAAAAGAAUAGAAAUCAUGAAGGAGCCACGACAGGAACAAAAAUUAGAUAGCAAUAGAAGCAAUCACAGAGUAAAGGGAGCUUGCUGAGUGAUUAUGAAGGGUUAGGGCAGGGUAUUUAAAGAACACAACUGGAGAGCAUGCUGGUUAAUAAAUGUGCAGGUUCCCAAAAAAGCACAAUCUUGAGAACCUGUACGGAGGACUUUUACAUCUCUGGGGAGAGCUAUGCAGACAAUCACAUUAAUGGAUUGCAAGUAGAAAUAAAAGAAAAAGGAACAAAGAUUGCCUAGAAACUGAAAAAAGGGAUAGGCAGUACAAAAAUCUCAGAUAAAGCAGCCAUUCAAGGAUCAGAGAAAUGGAAGCAUUGACAGAUUCAAGUAUCAGGUCAAAGAUCUUCCAAAGAAGGAAGCAAAAGAAUCAGUUGAAGAUUUGCAGAAAUUAAAAAAGUUGCAUUUUGCAAUUUUUAUUGUAUUCUAUUUGUAUAUAGGAGUUGUCUAUUGGAAUAGGCCUAGUUACAUUUUGCAGUUUUUAUUGUAUUCUAUUUGUAUGUAGGAGCUGUCUAUUGGAAUAGGCCUGCACCUAUACCUUAAUUGUGUGUUACCGAGAAUAGGGGUAAGAAGUGCUUCAGAAGGUAGUUGUCAAGCAUUGCAAACUGAUUUUAAAAUAAGAUCUGAAAGUUAAACUCAUAAAA